GUAACUUGCGAUAAGCUCAGAUUAGGCAGUAACAGCCACUUGAGUCUGAGAUUUCCGAAUGGGGAAACCCAACUGCAUAAGCAGUUACUGUUAACUGAAUACAUAGGUUAAUGAAGCGAACCGGGGGAACUGAAACAUCUAAGUACCCCGAGGAGAAGAAAUCAACCGAGAUUCCGAUAGUAGCGGCGAGCGAAAUUGGAU
RNAcentral lists this ribosomal RNA (201 nucleotides) under Vibrio fluvialis. Its description in RNAcentral is "partial 23S ribosomal RNA". It matches the Rfam family "Bacterial large subunit ribosomal RNA", at positions 61 to 264 of the family's 2925-position model. Lineage: Bacteria; Pseudomonadati; Pseudomonadota; Gammaproteobacteria; Vibrionales; Vibrionaceae. The record is from RNAcentral.